Molecule: ribosomal RNA, 372 nt
Filed under: uncultured organism
Description: bacterial SSU rRNA
Rfam family: Bacterial small subunit ribosomal RNA
Source: RNAcentral
CGUAGGGGGCUAGCGCUGUCCGGAUUUAUUGGGCGUAAAGAGCGCGUAGGCGGCUAGGUAAGUCCGACGUGAAAUCUGGAGGCUCAACCUCCAGCGGUCGUUGGAAACUACUUGGCUAGAGUCCGGAAGAGGAGAGUGGAAUUCCUGGUGUAGCGGUGAAAUGCGCAGAUAUCAGGAAGAACACCGAUGGCGAAAGCAGCUCUCUGGGACGGUACUGACGCUGAGGCGCGAAAGCGUGGGGAGCGAACAGGAUUAGAUACCCUGGUAGUCCACGCCGUAAACGAUGGGUGCUAGGUGUGAGCGGUGUCGACUCCGCUCGUGCCGAAGCUAACGCAUUAAGCACCCCGCCUGGGGAGUACGGCCGCAAGGCUA